Molecule: long non-coding RNA, 1244 nt
Filed under: Mytilus galloprovincialis (Mediterranean mussel)
Lineage: Eukaryota; Metazoa; Mollusca; Bivalvia; Mytilida; Mytilidae
Source: RNAcentral
AAAAAUAUGGAUUUUAUAUACACUUGCAUUGUACAAUAAAACAUUUGAUUCAUUAUUUACAUAAAAUUAAAAUUAAACUGGAAUGAUAAAACACAUUUCAAAAUAAAGUUACAAAACUAUAUUAAAAAAAAUCCAUAUCUCUUGUGAUUAUUAGGAACGCAUUGUAUUGUUUAUUUUGUCAACUGUAAAUUAAACAGUAACUAUACCAAAUAUUUAAGGUGAAAUCAAACAACUUGACUAAAAUUAAUUUGCCUCGUUUAAUUUUCACAAAUUUUUACAAAAUAUUUGAUUUGACCCUUGCAUUUUUUUUUAAUUACAAAAAACUUGAACCAUGCAUUUAUCAGAAAAAAAUCAUUUGAUAUAUAGCAGUUUGACAAACACUUAUUUUGAUCAUUGAGAAGCUUAACAUUUCCCUAAUAAUACUUUGUAUUUAAAACAUUCAGCUGAUUUUAACAGAGUUAUCUCCCUGUUGUGUUAUGAACCACCUUGGUGCAAAUUUACUUGACUUCAUUUUUAUGAUUUACUUGUGUCUCAUCCAUUUUGCUUUUACAUAAAGACAAUAUCAAAUACACAUGUGACUCCAUGCAGAAUGCUUGUUUUUACCAUGGCCUUUGAUAAUCUCUAAAUCUCUAUAGUACAGUUUUGCCUUUUAUUUUAAAAAAAUAUUUUAACCUUGGGUAUUUCACCCACAAAUCAAUAUCUACCUACUUCUUUGGCUUCAAAACUCUUGACCUCAUUUGCCAUGUUGAGGAUAAAUUAGGAAAAGUGCUUAUUAACCUUGACAUGAUGCCUUUUAUUUUAGUUAAUGUUUGAUAUUUAGAUAAACUGACCACAUGAAAAACUUUUAACAAGCAAUGGCACUACCAAACAGUAAGCCCAAGUUAAGCCUUUGAAAAUUUUUAGAAGGCCAGAAAAAAAGCGCAAUAUCUGAGCUAUUUAAGGAGCAACAGUGCUGUAUUUUUAUACUUGCUGGUUUCAAUUGUUGUUUUUAUUUUUUGCAAGCUGAUUUGUUUGAAAACAGGUAUUUAAAAAUAUUAAUCUAAGAUUGAUUAAUCAAAAAUAAAAAUAUGUUAAUGUUUUUCAUAUAAAUACAAUUGCUCAAUCAUGCCUGUUAUUUGAAUUUUAGAUAAAUGAUAGCCUUAUCAUCUGUAUAUGUGCAAAGCAUCCUAGCAGGUAUAUCAUAGAUUUUAAAUGUGCAAAAUAUAUGAAGUCAUCCAAUCAAAAUACUUAUCUAAAUUGAUUUA